RNAcentral lists this long non-coding RNA (515 nucleotides) under Homo sapiens (human). Its description in RNAcentral is "HSALNT0120101". The record is from RNAcentral. Lineage: Eukaryota; Metazoa; Chordata; Mammalia; Primates; Hominidae.
GUUCCAGCCCACAGCCAGCCACCCAGGAAGGAAGCAUUUUGUUCCUUUUAGACAGGGGGUCUGGCCAGCCAUAUGGCCAUGUUGUCGAAAGGCUCUGAGUGAACAGAAAUUGUAGGAAAUUGCAAAGCAACCUCUGAAUAAUGAACAUCUUGCCAGGAAAAUGUAUCUGAUCUCUGAGGAAAGGUGUUGGAAGAGAUAGGAGACGGCAGGAGGAUUGUCUCAAACACAAGUUUGAGUUCUUUUGACAACAAUGUCUCCCUGUUUAUGAAAUAUAGAGAAUUCUGCUCAAGAAGCGAGGAAGUUUUGGAGACAUAAUCAGAAAGAGAGAAAUGCAGACAAAGAAGUUGUAGAAACUAGCUCACUUCUCAUCAUGCUAUUCUCAGAAUUUUUCUCUUCAUCUCGCACUAAAAACAACCCUGUGCAAAAGACAAACCUUUUCCAGAUGUUUUGGUGAAUUCACUUUUACUCUCCAUGGACAAUAAUAACCAGUUUUUGUUUAAGGCUUUACAAUUUAA